Molecule: ribosomal RNA, 372 nt
Filed under: uncultured organism
Description: partial 16S ribosomal RNA
Rfam family: Bacterial small subunit ribosomal RNA
Source: RNAcentral
GUAGGUGGCAAGCGUUGUCCGGAAUUAUUGGGCGUAAAGCGCGCGCAGGGCGGUCCUUUAAGUCUGAUGUGAAAGCCCACGGCUCAACCGUGGAGGGUCAUUGGAAACUGGGGGACUUGAGUACAGAAGAGGAAAGCGGAAUACCAAGUGUAGCGGUGAAAUGCGUAGAGAUUUGGAGGAACACCAGUGGCGAAGGCGGCUUUCUGGUCUGUAACUGACGCUGAGGCGCGAAAGCGUGGGGAGCAAACAGGAUUAGAUACCCUGGUAGUCCACGCCGUAAACGAUGAGUGCUAAGUGUUAGGGGGUUUCCGCCCCUUAGUGCUGCAGCUAACGCAUUAAGCACUCCGCCUGGGGAGUACGGCCGCAAGGCUG